This is a non-coding RNA of Leucogyrophana mollusca, 94 nucleotides long. Lineage: Eukaryota; Fungi; Basidiomycota; Agaricomycetes; Boletales. The record is from the annotation of a GenBank genome assembly.
GCCCGCUUAGCUCAGUGGUAGAGCGCGUCACUUGUAACAGAUCAUCUGAUCUGCUGAGAUGAUGAGGUCGGUUGUUCAAUCCAGCCAGUGGGCA